This 389-nucleotide long non-coding RNA is filed under the name Elaeis guineensis (African oil palm). RNAcentral describes it as "long non-coding RNA (EGUI_LNC068957)". Lineage: Eukaryota; Viridiplantae; Streptophyta; Magnoliopsida; Arecales; Arecaceae. The record is from RNAcentral.
UGUCACAAAACCUUUCAGUGGUAUCAGAGCAACCUUGUUAGAAUUAAAUCAUAUGAUGAUAUGUUAACGAUUUAAUGGCAAUAUUAUAAAUAUGAUAUGAUCAUUAUUUAUAUUUUAAUAUGAUAUUAAUAUGAUGAGAUCAUAUUCAUUAUUUCAUAAUUAAAUUAUGAUGUAUAUAAUUAUGGAAUGUUGCUCUGUCAUAUUGAAUUGUGUUCACUAUGAUGCUAAUUUCUUUUAUUCAUGUAUUUAGUAUGAUAUAGAAAUUAAAUAUGCAUUGAGACCUGAAAAGCCCUCUGUAAAAUGAUAUUAAGUUGUAGUGUAAUUAACCAAUAGCAGAACCAGUCUAUGAUGUCUAAUUGAUCAAUCGGUGUCUAGGAAAGUGGUUCAUG